UGGGGCGUCGCCAAGUGGUAAGGCACCAGGUUUUGGUCCUGGCAUUCAGGAGUUCGAAUCUCUUCGCCCCAGCCA
This 75-nucleotide transfer RNA is filed under the name Candidatus Saccharimonadota bacterium. RNAcentral's name for it is "tRNA-Gln". It matches the Rfam family "tRNA". From Rfam's summary of the family: Transfer RNA (tRNA) molecules are approximately 80 nucleotides in length. Lineage: Bacteria; Candidatus Saccharimonadota. The record is from RNAcentral.